AAAAACGCAGACAGGCAGCGGGUCCGAUCCGACUAGUUUGACUGGAGCUAAAACCCAAAACCCUAAUAACCUUGUCUCCGGGAUCUUACCCAAAACUCUCUUCUCUUUGCUUGGCUCUACUAAUUUCUACAAUUCUGCAUUCUACAAUGGCUUCAAGGUGUAGCAGAAUUAUUAAUAGAGCUUCAAUUUCUUCUAUCAGAUCCGCCAUUAAAUCCAAUUCUCAAUCAGCUUCUUCUUCACAGUCGUUUCCCAGUUUCUCUGCCUCAACCAGAUCUACAUCGUCGCCUCUCCGUCGUUUCUCUUUUUCAAGAAUUCCGUCGGAACUGGGAGGGUUGCAGUCAAUGUUGCCGCUACACAACGCAGUUGCUACGGCGAGGAUGACGUCAUGCCUAAGCUCAACAUCGAGGAGUUCCAGAGCUCUUUCACAGGGUACUCUCUGCUGCACCUCUCCAGACCUCUAGCAUGUUCCAUUUAUUACUCCCCCAAAAUAAAAUAAAUACAAGCACAUGAGUUUCCAAAAGCACGAAAGAAAUAUACCGGGAUAGCACAGGCCUUUCUAUUUUGCUUAAAGCUAGGUCUCUCGGUACCAAGGUGACGUUGUUAGCAGAUUGUCAAAGAAAGUUGUCAACUCUUUGAAUGGGAAGGCAAGAUUUUGUCCUAGGAAAGACAUUUAUGUUUAAUGACUACUCAAACUUUACACAAGUGGUAAUAGUAUUUGAAUGUAUUAAAUUUUCAGCUGGUUUUGCUGUUAAUUCUGAUUUCCGAUUCCUUUGAUUACUUGGAAUAUUACUAUGGAAUAAUCCUUAUUUCCUUCUUUCUUUUUUGGGCCAAUUUGUUACACUGAGAAUGGAAGAGGUUGGAGUUUUAUACUUC
Molecule: RNA transcript, 873 nt
Organism: Nicotiana attenuata
Lineage: Eukaryota; Viridiplantae; Streptophyta; Magnoliopsida; Solanales; Solanaceae
Exons: 4
Source: RefSeq, a predicted model, not a curated record